RNAcentral lists this ribosomal RNA (405 nucleotides) under uncultured prokaryote. RNAcentral describes it as "bacterial SSU rRNA". It matches the Rfam family "Bacterial small subunit ribosomal RNA", at positions 355 to 774 of the family's 1533-position model. The record is from RNAcentral.
UGGGGGAUAUUGCACAAUGGGCGAAAGCCUGAUGCAGCAACGCCGCGUGAGGGAAGACGGUUUUCGGAUUGUAAACCUCUGUCUUCGGUGAAGAAAAAAAUGACGGUAGCCGAGGCGGAAGCCACGGCUAACUACGUGCCAGCAGCCGCGGUAAUACGUAGGUGGCGAGCGUUGUACGGAAUUACUGGGUGUAAAGGGAGCGCAGGCGGGGAGACAAGUCAGCUGUGAAAACUAUGGGCUUAACCCAUAAACUGCAGUUGAAACUGUUUUGCUUGAGUGGAGUAGAGGUAGGCGGAAUUCCGAGUGUAGCGGUGAAAUGCGUAGAUAUUCGGAGGAACACCAGUGGCGAAGGCGGCCUACUGGGCUCUAACUGACGCUGAGGCUCGAAAGUGUGGGGAGCAAACA